GGAUUAGAUACCCUGGUAGUCCACGCCGUAAACUAUGGACACUUGGUGUCGGAGGUAUUGACCCCUUCGGUGCCGGAGCUAACGCGUUAAGUGUCCCGCCUGGGGAGUACGGUCGCAAGAUUAAAACUCAAAGAAAUUGACGGGGGCCCGCACAAGCGGUGGAGCAUGUGGUUUAAUUCGAUGCAACGCGAAAUACCUUACCUGGGUUUGAAUUGCAAUGGACAGCUCUAGAGAUAGAGUCUUUCUUCGGAACUGUUGUGAAGGUGCUGCAUGGCUGUCGUCAGCUCGUGCCG
RNAcentral lists this ribosomal RNA (293 nucleotides) under uncultured bacterium. RNAcentral describes it as "partial 16S ribosomal RNA". It matches the Rfam family "Bacterial small subunit ribosomal RNA", at positions 775 to 1067 of the family's 1533-position model. The record is from RNAcentral.